This 234-nucleotide long non-coding RNA is filed under the name Lathyrus oleraceus (garden pea). Its description in RNAcentral is "Pisum sativum (pea) long non-coding RNA (PSAT_LNC010619)". The record is from RNAcentral. Lineage: Eukaryota; Viridiplantae; Streptophyta; Magnoliopsida; Fabales; Fabaceae.
AAAUGGUAAAGAAUUAAAAAAUGAAAAAUAUACAAUAACUCCUAAGCAUGGGAAGGACCUUGGACAAUGGGCUUAGGGACUCAUUAGGACCCUUUCAAGAGACUCUGGACAAACUUUUGACUCGAACUUGAAAGGAGCAUUCAAGACAAAAAGACUUGUAAUAUUUUACUCGCUUUCUAGUUUAGGACACUACGCACACACAAGGCUUUCUCUUGGACUACCUGACAAUGAGAC